GUCAGGUGUGGUGGUGCACACCUGUAAUCCCAGAUGCUGGGGAGGCUGAGGCAGGAGGAUCGAAAGUUCAAAGCCAGACUCAGCAAAAGCAAGGCACCAAGCAACUCAGUGAGACCCAGUCUCUA
Molecule: small RNA, 125 nt
Filed under: Marmota monax (woodchuck)
Lineage: Eukaryota; Metazoa; Chordata; Mammalia; Rodentia; Sciuridae
Source: RNAcentral